This 87-nucleotide non-coding RNA is filed under the name Vibrio mangrovi. Lineage: Bacteria; Pseudomonadati; Pseudomonadota; Gammaproteobacteria; Vibrionales; Vibrionaceae. The record is from RNAcentral.
AUUUAUGGUGAGCUGGGCAAGGGCAGCUUCGUGCUGGCCGUUUUCACAUGUAGCGGUAGUCCUAACCCUUCUUAGCUCGCCACCUCG